UACGAAGGGGGCUAGCGUUGCUCGGAAUCACUGGGCGUAAAGGGUGCGUAGGCGGGUUCUUAAGUCAGAGGUGAAAUCCUGGAGCUCAACUCCAGAACUGCCUUUGAUACUGGCGAUCUUGAGUCCGGGAGAGGUGAGUGGAACUGCGAGUGUAGAGGUGAAAUUCGUAGAUAUUCGCAAGAACACCAGUGGCGAAGGCGGCUCACUGGCCCGGUACUGACGCUGAGGUGCGAAAGCGUGGGGAGCAAACAGG
RNAcentral lists this ribosomal RNA (253 nucleotides) under uncultured bacterium. RNAcentral describes it as "partial 16S ribosomal RNA". It matches the Rfam family "Bacterial small subunit ribosomal RNA", at positions 524 to 776 of the family's 1533-position model. The record is from RNAcentral.